RNAcentral lists this ribosomal RNA (468 nucleotides) under uncultured bacterium. RNAcentral's name for it is "partial 16S ribosomal RNA". It matches the Rfam family "Bacterial small subunit ribosomal RNA", at positions 28 to 507 of the family's 1533-position model. The record is from RNAcentral.
GACGAACGCUGGCGGCGUGCUUAACACAUACAAGUCGAACGGAAAGGCCCUGCUUUUGUGGGGUGCUCGAGUGGCGAACGGGUGAGUAACACGUGAGUAACUUGCCCUUGACUUUGGGAUAACUUCAGGAAACUGGGGCUAAUACCGGAUAGGAGCUCCUGCUGCAUGGUGGGGGUUGGAAAGUUUCGGCGGUUGGGGAUGGACUCGCGGCUUAUCAGCUUGUUGGUGGGGUAGUGGCUUACCAAGGCUUUGACGGGUAGCCGGCCUGAGAGGGUGACCGGCCACAUUGGGACUGAGAUACGGCCCAGACUCCUACGGGAGGCAGCAGUGGGGAAUAUUGCACAAUGGGCGGAAGCCUGAUGCAGCAACGCCGCGUGCGGGAUGACGGCCUUCGGGUUGUAAACCGCUUUCGCCUGUGACGAAGCGUGAGUGACGGUAAUGGGUAAAGAAGCACCGGCUAACUACGUG